RNAcentral lists this long non-coding RNA (857 nucleotides) under Homo sapiens (human). Its description in RNAcentral is "non-protein coding GASAL1:30". Lineage: Eukaryota; Metazoa; Chordata; Mammalia; Primates; Hominidae. The record is from RNAcentral.
GCCAGAUGGGGGAUCUGGGGAACAGGUCCUCUGCUUUCUGGGAAAAUAGAGGAGAGUCUCCGAGUCUGGGCCUUGCCACUCCUCACUCAGCAUCUGACCAUCCCCACCUCCUGGAUCUACAGGGUUCAUAGAGGAGGACCCAGAAGAGGGAAAGUCAGGCUGAGGAACUUGGCCUCCCUGCUGCAAGGGAAAUGACAUCGGUUACCAAGGAGGUGACCAGCUAUCCUUUUCCAAGACUGAAAAGCAGAAAUACGGCCCUGAGGCUAGAGGGUCUAAGAGAACAAUAGGAAGAAUUUCCUGACAAAGGACAAUGUUGCCUAAAGGACUCAGGAAGCUCUGUGAAAACAGGAGACUCCCGAGCAGAGCACCAGACCCUUCUCCACCAGGCAGUGUUUUUCCCAUAUGACAGGUGAGAAAACUGAGGCUGAGAGACAUGUAAUAACUUGCUGAAGCAGCAACCAGCACACCAUAUAGCUGAAAUCUGUAGAUCAGCAGUUAAAAGUGGUAGGGCAAGUCCUCUCUGACUUUCAGCGCUAAGAGCCUAGGAUUCUGUGUUUUUCUGCUUAAGCCUGGGAAUCAGAGUCCUACAAAAGCCGCGCCUAAUCCUGGGGGUGUGGGCUUUAAACCCAGAGAGAAAGCAUGUUAUUGGAAUACUCCUGCACUUUUCUCCCUUUGAAUCCCACCACGGAAAGAAAAUUCUGUGACGUGUACCCAGUAUUUAUUGGAGGGUAUUUCCUAGCAAGAAAAUGAGGGCGAUUGACCAGGCACGGUGGCUCACGCCUGUAAUCCCAGCACUUUGGGAGGUCAAGGUGAGUGGAUCACAUGAGGUCAGGAGUUCGAGACCAGCCUGACCAACA